AUACUUACCUGGACGGGGUCAAUGGGCGAUCAUGAAAGUCCAUGGCCUAGAUUGGUGACCUCCAUUGCACUGUGGGAGGGGUGCCCGACUAAGGUCUGUCCAAAGUGGCGGAACCUACGUCAUUAUUUGUGGUAGCGGGGGCCUGCGUUCGCGCGGCCCCCUA
Small nuclear RNA from Cucurbita moschata (crookneck pumpkin), 163 nucleotides. RefSeq annotates it as U1 spliceosomal RNA. Lineage: Eukaryota; Viridiplantae; Streptophyta; Magnoliopsida; Cucurbitales; Cucurbitaceae. The transcript has a single exon. The record is from RefSeq and is a predicted model, not a curated record.